CUGACUUUGCAGCUGGACUUUUGACUAAAAGGGCCUGGACACAUCCAAGAACCCUAGCGGGCUCUGGGGCUCAUUUGGGUCUCAGAGGUCUGCUAAUGACCAUGGCCUGGAGGGCUCUACUUCAAAGAAAAAGUCGUGAAGGAACGGCUCCAAAUUCCCAGUGUCAGAGGAGAGUGAAAGAUUGUUGGCUCUUUGUGAGUCUAGUGUUCUCAUCCUUGUAAACAGUAAGCGCUCUGGAGAUGAAUACCAAUGGACAGCAUGUGCCCAUCACAGCUGAAUUGGGAUCCUGCUGACUCACCCUCCUGGCUAAGCUGAAUUCCAGCACCUGUACGCUUUGGUGCCUGGGUGCCCCGAGGAAAGGGGUGGGCCCCAGGCUGGACACAAAAUGAGCUAGCAGCUUCCCUCAAUGUCUUGGGUUUGCUAAGAAAGAUGAGCAUGAUGGGUGACCAGAGACCUGGGAGCAUGACUGUAAGGAAAAGGCUUUCUCAUUAAAAAACUGGAAUGGAAGCAGAAGAGCUCAAAAGGAUGAUCAAACUAAACACAACAUGAUGGCGACAAAUUUUAGAGCUUUGAGGUUUUGUUGGUGAACUCUUGAUUUUCGGUGUAUGAAGAAAUUACUUUGGCUUCUUCCAUUAUACUGAAAUAUCAUCAGGGUCCUGACCCACAGAAGGAGAACUGCUGCUGUAGAAGAUGGUGACCGCAUCGCUCCAGGGUGGUCAGAGCAUUGCCAACACCACAUCCGCCCAUUACUGCAGCAGCAACAUCUGUGUUCCAUGACCCAUCCUAUCGCCAGCUUCAUCACGCUGCCACACCUCGUGGGAAAGGUGGUUGCUUGUCUAUCGGUGGAGCUAUGGCCACUGUGGAACAGCACCUCCUCCCAGAAGCUUCCUUAAAACACCUGUACGGGGUGACAGGCCACCAAAUGUGCUUGUAGCUCCCAGCUUGCUCUUCUCAAAGCCAUGGGAAGCUGUACCAUGACCAUGUCCUCACUUGUCUGCCACCACUAUUAGGUAGACACCCAUUCACCCAUUUAUUCUUGUUGAACAAGUGACUUGCUUAACCUGUAGAUCAAGAAUCUCCUAUUGUACCAAAAGCCAGGUGUAGAAGGACACAUAAGUAAGUGUGCUCAUUGUUUAGAUUAGAACCAGUGGUUUCACCAUGCUACCUGAUAAUAACUUUUAUGUCAUAUGUAAUUUAAUGCAACAUUUUGUUGUGUAAUGAGAAAGAGCUUAGGUAUUAAGACACACAUAUGGUAAGAUUGCCCUAACCAGGCACCUUUGUGCAUAGGUCACCUGAUCCAAUUUCUCGUGUUGGGAAGUUGACCAUGUCAACACCAGCCCAGGAACUUUGAGUAUGUAUUGUGUAAGUAUCGUUAGUUUGUGAUCGCAGCAUACUGGUUAGUUUUCAUCAACAAGAGCCACCGUGGAAGAAGGAAUCUCAGUGGAAAAGUUGCCUCUAUCUGACUGGCUUGUGAGCAUGUCUGUAGAGAAUUUUCUUGAUUAGUGAUUGUUGUUGGAGUCCCCAGUCCACUGGGGGCCCUGGCAUCCCUGGGGAGAUGGUUCUGGUUUGAAUCAUGGUGGGAAAGCCAUGGAGAGCAAGCCAGUAAGCAGCACCCUCUGUGGCUUCUGCUUCAAGCCUUGAGCUCCUGCCAUGGCUCCAUUCUACAAUGGAUGGUAACAUGCAGAAGUAGGCCAAGUAAACUUGCUCACGUUGCUUUUGGUCUCAGUGUGUUAUCAGAGCAACAGAAAAGCAAACGGAAACAGGACUUCUGAGCCAACAAGGCAUAGCUCAUAUAUUCUUCUUUCUAAGGGGUCUUUCGUUUUUCCAGAAAAAUUCAGCUAAUGAGAAUGAUAUAGACAUAAGGAAGACACCACGGUGUCCUAUUGUUCUAUUGUUUAUCAUGUUUGCCCUCGUUUGUAAUUCCCUCGUGUAACAAUAGGUCAAUAGGUACAGUGUUGAAAUGUUUGCGAAGUUUUCACAAGGCUUUUAUUUUAGAUAUGUGCUAGGCAUGGUGACUCAUGAUUGCAAUCCUGUCCCUCAGCAGUCGGUACAGGCCUGUGAGUUUGAGGCCAACCUAAACUAUAUAGUCUAACUUCUCUUUCUUUUCCUCUUUCUGCAUGCACACACACACACAUGCAUGCAGACACACACGUGCACAGAUAUAUAUAAUUAUGUAAUACUGUAGAAAAACUCUUUAAAAACGUGUUUUAACGUGAAUUAAUAGAAUUCUGCUUUUUUUUCUAGGCCAAUACUAUACAAGUUAUGUAGAUUAAUGUGAAAUAGUGACCUAUCAUAACAUGGUAAUAUUUAGUUAACAUAUAAAGAUGAUAGAAGAAAUAUAAUAAAGUUAAUUUCCCGUCAACUUUUCAUACUUUUAUUCUACCACCUUGAACAUUCACAUAGUAUCCUGAACAUUUUUUAGUGCAUUGGUGGUCCAGAGGAUGCUCAGGAGAGAUUUAAAGUACACUCUAAACUUGGUUUAAGUUUUAAAACUGAAAAUGAAAGGACAGUUCUCAGCCAAGUAUUGAUCUUCCAUUUUAAAAAUGAAAAGAAGAGGCAGACAUCUUCAGCUACUUCUCCUAGAACUGGAAUUUAUAACCCAGGAUGACAUGCGCAUCAGGGAUGCUUGUUUAACUCGGUAUCUAAAAUCACUUGUUCUCAGAUAUUACUUACUUGGUACCAGAGGCCUCAGAACUUAAGGGCAUGGCCUCUUAAUUAGCUAGACUGUUAUUGUAGCUGUAUCCAACAGUAGAAACUCGGCAACGGUUGGCUUUUCGUAAGACCACUGACUUCAUUCGGCAAACACUCAUUCCUCUCCCGUGUUCUCGGCUUCCACAGUGCAGCAGCAGCAAGCUCUGCUUAGUCUCUUAGGGCCCCAGCAUCAAAACGAAGGGAAAGAAAACUCCGUAAAGGGUGCUAGCUUCUCGUAUUGCCUGGUAUUGCACAUGUUCUGUCUCUUCACAUUUAUUUCAUGGCUGAAAGCAAGGGGAAAGAUGGCCACACUUUAGUUUAAGAGUGAAGGGGUAUGGAAACUGAAUUCUAUGAUGUGUCCAGAGGAGCAACAGCAAUGUUAGCAAACAGUUCUGAUGACUAACUCACGGUCCUCAGCCAUGUGCUCUUGAGAGCCCCUCACCCCAUAGUGUCCCAAGUUUCUGAUAUGUAUGUGUUGGUGCGUCUGCGUUUAUUUUCAUACAUACAGAGUUACAUCAAUCACAGAAAAUGAGAAUAAUAUUAGUAGAACACAGAGACUGCAAUUAGAAAUGUGAAUACAUUGCUAUAAACAUUUGUAAUAAAGCCCCAUUCUAUCUAACAUUGGGAGAUAAAUCUUAGACUCUGGGGCCUUGCUUCAGCAUGUUGGGAGCAUGAAAAGAAGCAGGUUGAAGUGGAGUCCUAAGAGCCUUAGCACCGGCUAAGCAGACUGCAAUAAUGAGGAAAUGUGAGGUCUCCAGAGCAACCAGAAAGUCUUGAUCCUAGGAAGCAGGAAAUGUGCAUGUAAGAAAGAGUUAGCUGCAUCAGAUAUGGCGGGGCAGUCCAAGCAGCUGAGUGACAAGGGGCCUUUGAAGUAGGCACUGGUGCUGGCGGUGAUGGCCUUUGGCAGUACAUCUGCUAGAAACCUCAGUGUGCCUCAGGUUUAAACUCAUAAUUCUGCACAUCAUCCUCCUGCCUUUUCUAUUUUAACUUUUGACACCCAGCCAACAAAGCUAGAAAGCUGAGAAUAAUUGCAUGUGCCGAAAACACCCACAUCCUUUCAACUUCAUGCAGAUUUCUGUUCCUAAAUAUCUCCAGGAUCGUUCAUUGCUAUCCAUCUUUGCCUCACAGUAUCCAGGCCCUUGCCAACACUUGCCUGACUAUUUAUGAUGUCUACCUGGUCACCUGGCCUCUAGUCUUCUUCUACCAAAUUCAUUUAUGACUGCAUA
Molecule: long non-coding RNA, 3917 nt
Organism: Psammomys obesus (fat sand rat)
Lineage: Eukaryota; Metazoa; Chordata; Mammalia; Rodentia; Muridae
Exons: 4
Source: RefSeq, a predicted model, not a curated record